RNAcentral lists this non-coding RNA (31 nucleotides) under Homo sapiens (human). The record is from RNAcentral. Lineage: Eukaryota; Metazoa; Chordata; Mammalia; Primates; Hominidae.
UGCCGUUCAGAGCAUCGGAGAGGUGCCAGGU